UAAAAAGAUAAGCUAAUUAAGCUUGCGGGCUCAUACCCCGCCUAUAAAGGUCCUAAUCCUUUUCUUUUUAA
Molecule: transfer RNA, 71 nt
Filed under: Jebusaea hammerschmidtii
Lineage: Eukaryota; Metazoa; Arthropoda; Insecta; Coleoptera; Cerambycidae
Description: tRNA-Met
Rfam family: tRNA
About the family: Transfer RNA (tRNA) molecules are approximately 80 nucleotides in length. Their secondary structure includes four short double-helical elements and three loops (D, anti-codon, and T loops).
Source: RNAcentral